This 253-nucleotide ribosomal RNA is filed under the name uncultured bacterium. Its description in RNAcentral is "partial 16S ribosomal RNA". It matches the Rfam family "Bacterial small subunit ribosomal RNA", at positions 524 to 776 of the family's 1533-position model. The record is from RNAcentral.
UACAGAGGGUGCGAGCGUUGUUCGGAAUUACUGGGCGUAAAGCGCGUGUAGGCUGCUUCGCAAGUCGGAUGUGAAAGCCCUGGGCUCAACCCAGGAAGUGCAUUCGAAACUGCAGAGCUGGAGUCCUGGAGAGGAAGGCGGAAUUCUCGGUGUAGAGGUGAAAUUCGUAGAUAUCGAGAGGAACACCGGUGGCGAAGGCGGCCUUCUGGACAGUGACUGACGCUGAGACGCGAAAGCGUGGGGAGCAAACAGG